GAUGAAGAACGUAGCGAAAUGCGAUAAGUAAUGUGAAUUGCAGAAUUCAGUGAAUCAUCGAAUCUUUGAACGCACAUUGCGCCCGCCAGUAUUCUGGCGGGCAUGCCUGUCCGAGCGUCAUUUCAACCCUCGAACCCCUCCGGGGGGUCGGCGUUGGGGAUCGGGAACCCCUAAGACGGGAUCCCGGCCCCGAAAUACAGUGGCGGUCUCGCCGCAGCCUCUCCUGCGCAGUAGUUUGCACAACUCGCACCGGGAGCGCGGCGCGUCCACGUCCGUAAAACACCCAACUUCUGAAAUGUUGACCUCGGAUCAGGUAGGAAUACCCGCUGAACUUAAGCAUAUCAAUAAGCGGAGG
Molecule: unclassified non-coding RNA, 355 nt
Filed under: soil metagenome
Description: partial contains 5.8S ribosomal RNA, internal transcribed spacer 2, and large subunit ribosomal RNA
Rfam family: 5.8S ribosomal RNA (bases 1-120)
Source: RNAcentral